GUAACUUUGAACUACAUGGGAGCUUCCAGCAAAAGCAGUUUGAAACCUUGGGCUGUCUCUUAAACUUUCUUCAACAUCCAUUCCACGUUCAGCAGGCUCCAAAGUCGCUCUCAUGAAGUACAGGAAACAAGGCAGGGGACACACUGGAUG
This is a long non-coding RNA of Brienomyrus brachyistius, 150 nucleotides long. RefSeq lists it as uncharacterized. The record is from RefSeq and is a predicted model, not a curated record. NCBI's taxonomy places the organism in Eukaryota, Metazoa, Chordata, Actinopteri, Osteoglossiformes, Mormyridae. The transcript has 3 exons.